This 208-nucleotide unclassified non-coding RNA is filed under the name Hevea brasiliensis (rubber tree). Lineage: Eukaryota; Viridiplantae; Streptophyta; Magnoliopsida; Malpighiales; Euphorbiaceae. The record is from RNAcentral.
GAUUCCCGGUGAAAUUAGUUGUUGAAUUUGAGAUUUCUGGGCUAAAAUGUUGUUUUCGUUCUUGAAAUGAAGUUGGGGUUCUUCUUUUUUGUUGUGAUGACUGUAAUUUUGAUCUCUCUUGGUUUUUGUUGAACCCAUAAGAGGUGGUUUGCUUUUGAGAAUCAUAAAUUUAGGAUCUUUUUAGUGGGUUUAGAGUAUUGUUAUGGAG